CAUGAAGCUGGAAUCGCUAGUAAUCGCGAAUCAGAAUGUCGCGGUGAAUACGUUCCCGGGUCUUGUACACACCGCCCGUCACACCAUGGGAGUCGGAAAUGCCCGAAGUCUGUGACCCAACCUGGAAGGGAGGGAGCAGCCGAAGGCAGGUCGGAUGACUGGGGGUGAAGUCGUAACAAGGUAGC
This 185-nucleotide ribosomal RNA is filed under the name uncultured bacterium. Its description in RNAcentral is "partial 16S ribosomal RNA". It matches the Rfam family "Bacterial small subunit ribosomal RNA", at positions 1319 to 1500 of the family's 1533-position model. The record is from RNAcentral.